GGAUACACCUGUUCCCAUUCCGAACACAGAAGUUAAGCUCUCUAGCGCUGAUGGUACUUGGUGGGAAACUGCCUGGGAGAGUAGGACGUAGCCACGU
Molecule: ribosomal RNA, 97 nt
Filed under: Clostridioides difficile
Lineage: Bacteria; Bacillati; Bacillota; Clostridia; Peptostreptococcales; Peptostreptococcaceae
Source: RNAcentral